CAAUACGGAGGGUGCAAGCGUUAAUCGGAAUUACUGGGCGUAAAGCGCAUGCAGGUGGUUGUUAAGUCAGAUGUGAAAGCCCUGGGCUCAACCUAGGAAUCGCAUUUGAAACUGACAAGCUAGAGUACUGUAGAGGGGGGUAGAAUUUCAGGUGUAGCGGUGAAAUGCGUAGAGAUCUGAAGGAAUACCGGUGGCGAAGGCGGCCCCCUGGACAGAUACUGACACUCAGAUGCGAAAGCGUGGGAGCAAACAGGAUUAGAUACCCUGGUAGUCCACGCCGUAAACGAUGUCUACUUGGAGGUUGUGCCCUAGAGGUGUGGCUUUCGGAGCUAACGCGUUAAGUAGACCGCCUGGGGAGUACGGUCGCAAGAUUAAAACUCAAAUGAAUUGACGGGGGCCCGCACAAGCGGUGGAGCAUGUGGUUUAAUUCGAUGCAACGCGAAGAACCUUACCUACUCUUGACAUCCAGAGAAUCUAGCGGAGACGCUGGAGUGCCUUCGGGA
Molecule: ribosomal RNA, 503 nt
Filed under: uncultured Vibrio sp.
Lineage: Bacteria; Pseudomonadati; Pseudomonadota; Gammaproteobacteria; Vibrionales; Vibrionaceae
Description: bacterial SSU rRNA
Rfam family: Bacterial small subunit ribosomal RNA
Source: RNAcentral